Molecule: ribosomal RNA, 505 nt
Filed under: uncultured bacterium
Lineage: Bacteria
Description: partial 16S ribosomal RNA
Rfam family: Bacterial small subunit ribosomal RNA
Source: RNAcentral
GACGAACGCUGGCGGCGUGCCUAAUACAUGCAAGUAGAACGCACAGUUUAUACCGUAGCUUGCUACACCAUAGACUGUGAGUUGCGAACGGGUGAGUAACGCGUAGGUAACCUGCCUGGUAGCGGGGGAUAACUAUUGGAAACGAUAACUAAUACCGCAUAAUAUUAAUUAUUGCAUGAUAAUUGAUUGAAAGAUGCAACUGCAUCACUACCAGAUGGACCUGCGUUGUAUUAGCUAGUAGGUGAGGUAACGGCUCACCUAGGCGACGAUACAUAGCCGACCUGAGAGGGUGAUCGGCCACACUGGGACUGAGACACGGCCCAGACGCCCACGGGAGGCAGCAGUAGGGAAACUUCGGCAAUGGACGAAAGGCUGACCGAGCAACGCCGCGUGAGGGAAGAAGGUUUUCGGAUCGUGAAGCUCUGUUGUAAGAGAAGAACGGGUGUGAGAGUGGAAAGUUCACACUGUGACGGUAUCUUACCAGAAAGGGACGGCUAACUACGUG